Molecule: ribosomal RNA, 1503 nt
Filed under: Enterobacter sp. Amlc9
Lineage: Bacteria; Pseudomonadati; Pseudomonadota; Gammaproteobacteria; Enterobacterales; Enterobacteriaceae
Description: bacterial SSU rRNA
Rfam family: Bacterial small subunit ribosomal RNA
Source: RNAcentral
AGAGUUUGAUCUGGCUCAGAUUGAACGCUGGCGGCAGGCCUAACACAUGCAAGUCGAGCGGUAGCACAGAGAGCUUGCUCUCGGGUGACGAGCGGCGGACGGGUGAGUAAUGUCUGGGAAACUGCCCGAUGGAGGGGGAUAACUACUGGAAACGGUAGCUAAUACCGCAUAACGUCGCAAGACCAAAGAGGGGGACCUUCGGGCCUCUUGCCAUCGGAUGUGCCCAGAUGGGAUUAGCUAGUAGGUGGGGUAACGGCUCACCUAGGCGACGAUCCCUAGCUGGUCUGAGAGGAUGACCAGCCACACUGGAACUGAGACACGGUCCAGACUCCUACGGGAGGCAGCAGUGGGGAAUAUUGCACAAUGGGCGCAAGCCUGAUGCAGCCAUGCCGCGUGUAUGAAGAAGGCCUUCGGGUUGUAAAGUACUUUCAGCGGGGAGGAAGGUGUUGAGGUUAAUAACCUCAGCAAUUGACGUUACCCGCAGAAGAAGCACCGGCUAACUCCGUGCCAGCAGCCGCGGUAAUACGGAGGGUGCAAGCGUUAAUCGGAAUUACUGGGCGUAAAGCGCACGCAGGCGGUCUGUCAAGUCGGAUGUGAAAUCCCCGGGCUCAACCUGGGAACUGCAUUCGAAACUGGCAGGCUUGAGUCUCGUAGAGGGGGGUAGAAUUCCAGGUGUAGCGGUGAAAUGCGUAGAGAUCUGGAGGAAUACCGGUGGCGAAGGCGGCCCCCUGGACGAAGACUGACGCUCAGGUGCGAAAGCGUGGGGAGCAAACAGGAUUAGAUACCCUGGUAGUCCACGCCGUAAACGAUGUCUAUUUGGAGGUUGUGCCCUUGAGGCGUGGCUUCCGGAGCUAACGCGUUAAAUAGACCGCCUGGGGAGUACGGCCGCAAGGUUAAAACUCAAAUGAAUUGACGGGGGCCCGCACAAGCGGUGGAGCAUGUGGUUUAAUUCGAUGCAACGCGAAGAACCUUACCUACUCUUGACAUCCAGAGAACUUUCCAGAGAUGGAUUGGUGCCUUCGGGAACUCUGAGACAGGUGCUGCAUGGCUGUCGUCAGCUCGUGUUGUGAAAUGUUGGGUUAAGUCCCGCAACGAGCGCAACCCUUAUCCUUUGUUGCCAGCGGUUAGGCCGGGAACUCAAAGGAGACUGCCAGUGAUAAACUGGAGGAAGGUGGGGAUGACGUCAAGUCAUCAUGGCCCUUACGAGUAGGGCUACACACGUGCUACAAUGGCGUAUACAAAGAGAAGCGACCUCGCGAGAGCAAGCGGACCUCAUAAAGUACGUCGUAGUCCGGAUUGGAGUCUGCAACUCGACUCCAUGAAGUCGGAAUCGCUAGUAAUCGUGGAUCAGAAUGCUACGGUGAAUACGUUCCCGGGCCUUGUACACACCGCCCGUCACACCAUGGGAGUGGGUUGCAAAAGAAGUAGGUAGCUUAACCUUCGGGAGGGCGCUUACCACUUUGUGAUUCAUGACUGGGGUGAAGUCGUAACAAGGUAACCGUA